Cyprinus carpio carpio is the source of this 445-nucleotide long non-coding RNA. Lineage: Eukaryota; Metazoa; Chordata; Actinopteri; Cypriniformes; Cyprinidae. The record is from Ensembl.
CCCCGCCCCUAAUGCAACUGACUAAAAAUAAGUUCUGACUUUGCUGACUAUAGCAAGUCAUGGCUGAUCAAGCAAAAAACUUUAUAUUAUAUGUAGGCUAAUUAUUUAUAUAUUUAAUGUCUUAAUAAAAUAUAUCAUGAAUAAUUAAUUCUAACGGAAACAAAACACGAUACAUCACAACUACUAAAACAAAACAUAUCCUAGCAAAGUUUCUAUUUUGCUUAAUGCAUUAAGGCAGGUUAUAAACGCAUUGUUAAAUACAUUCAUCAUAGCUAACACUAAGGAAGAAUCCAGUUCAGAAAGGUGCACUGGAGAACACUGUCUGCCGGAAAUUGCUUUAUAGCCAGCCAAUCAGAAUGGGAUGGCCAAUUUUUGGAUGCUGAGACUAGUUACAACAUACUAAAGAGCUAAAGAUCUGCUGACAGACUCUGAAAGUCUCCAGAAG